UACGUAGGGGGCAAGCGUUGUCCGGAAUCAUUGGGCGUAAAGCGCGUGUAGGCGGCCAGAAAAGUCCGCUGUGAAAACUCGAGGCUCAACUUCGAGCUGUCGGUGGAAACUUUCUGGCUAGAGUCCGGAAGAGGAGAAUGGAAUUCCUGGUGUAGCGGUGAAAUGCGCAGAUAUCAGGAGGAACACCGAUUGCGAAGGCAGCUCGCUGGGACGUUACUGACGCUGAGACGCGAAAGCGUGGGGAGCAAACAGG
This 253-nucleotide ribosomal RNA is filed under the name uncultured bacterium. Its description in RNAcentral is "partial 16S ribosomal RNA". It matches the Rfam family "Bacterial small subunit ribosomal RNA", at positions 524 to 776 of the family's 1533-position model. The record is from RNAcentral.